Schistosoma margrebowiei is the source of this 46-nucleotide non-coding RNA. The record is from Rfam. Lineage: Eukaryota; Metazoa; Platyhelminthes; Trematoda; Strigeidida; Schistosomatidae.
GCACUGCUGAGGAGUCCCGUACUAAGACGAAACGGCCGUCCAGUGC